UACGUAGGCAGCAAGCGUUGUUCGGAGUUACUGGGCGUAAAGGGUGCGUAGGCGGCCUUAUAAGUAUGGUGUGAAAUCUCCCGGCUUAACUGGGAGGGUGCGCUAUAGACUGUGGGGCUAGAGUGUGGGAGAGGAAAGUGGAAUUCCUGGUGUAGCGGUGAAAUGCGUAGAUAUCAGGAGGAACACCGGUGGUGUAAACGGCUUUCUGGACCAUAACUGACGCUGAGGCACGAGAGCGUGGGUAGCAAACAGG
Molecule: ribosomal RNA, 253 nt
Filed under: uncultured bacterium
Lineage: Bacteria
Description: partial 16S ribosomal RNA
Rfam family: Bacterial small subunit ribosomal RNA
Source: RNAcentral